GCAAAAAAGGCUACGUCAGAGACACCGCCCCAAGAGGAGGAGUCUGCCAGUGCGGAAGAGAUGUGGCUGGCAGUACUAAGGGACCUGCAGCUGGAGUAACAACCCGGAAACAAGAAACCGUAGCCCCAUAGCUAAAAGAUAAUAUAACCAAGUGCUUAGCGUUUUUAAAGGUUAACUAUGGCUUAGAAUGUACAGAGACUGGGACCCGCUACUACAGAGGAAAGUACAAAAGAGAGCCCAACCCAAAGGGGGGCACUUCUUCUGGAUCAACUGAGACUUAGACAGACUCAGAGAACGGGGAUCCUCGAAAUUGUAUUUACACUGGGUAGUUACUACGGACCGAGACAGUGGACCAAGUCAUCUUCUCCAGAGGGACUACAGUCUCCUGGGGGACAUCAACGUGAGGGGCCCCCUGGUUACAGUGGGGGUGUACUCCUCUACCCUGUCUGCUGCCUGCGCUGGGUGGAGGGAGUUUGCUCAUUAUCAACCAUUCCAUCGGUCCUCCUAAGGAGAGGUCUCCACUCGCCUGCGGCACCAGGCCAUGCAAAGCGAACUCGCCCAGUCUUUUCCCAGAAAACACGGCACCACCACCAAGAAAGAUCUGGGAGAGAAAUAUCUCUGGAUGAGAUGACAGAAACAGUAUAAGUCAAGAGAAACUUUGACCAACUCCAGCGCAGCUCCAAGAUCCAUUUGCAGCCCUUGAGCAGAGCUGCCAACCAUCAAACACUUCAAGCCGUCACGGCUGGGGGAAAGUCAGUGGCCAUAAGAACAGAACUGUGGACAAAGUGGAAUAAGAAGGCCAAAUCUCUAUGGGCACAUAAAACAAGAAGGCCAGUAACCUAGUGUCCUUUUCACACACUCGGCCCACUAAAGGAAUCAGGGAGGUAAUAAGAGCGGUGCCCUGACAUUUUAAAACAGACACUUCACUGACCGGGAGUCCAUUUCAAAGGCCAUUUGGCUUUGCAAAAAAAGGAAUGGUUUGUUGACUGAAGUUACAGAGGUUUUCUAGAGAAGCUAUUUGGGAAAUGUGUGUUUAAUUGAUCUACGGACUGGCUUUGUUCCAUUCUGCUUUAUUGGUAUCUUUAUCAAUUUUGACGGACCGAUAUGCUCGGGGUAUUAUGCAGCCCCAAUGUCAUCCAUUUGUUCCUUUAAGUACUUGAUUGGUUCACUGCUCUUAUUUUUACAUGUUUCAUAUAGCAGGCACUCUUAUUCAGAGCAACUUACAGGAGCAAUUAAGGUGAAGUGCCUUGCUCAAGGGCACCACAUCACCAGGAAUUAAAACCAGUAACCUUUUGUUUACCAGCCCAACGCUCUUAACCACUAGGCUAUUACUGCACAGUACAAUACAAUCUGGAAAACUGUGCCCGCUCAUUUGGCCUUUUUUGGGGGGCUUCUCAAGAAAUGCUGGCGGCCAUGACAGAAGCCAAACAUGAGUUGGCUUGGGGGUGUGGUUUGAUAUGUGUUUAUUGGCUGGUGCGGCUGGCUUCCGGGUUAAGCGGGCAUUGUGUCAAGAAGCAGCAUGGCUUGGCUGGGUUGUGUUUCGGAGGACGCACGGCUCUCG
Salmo salar (Atlantic salmon) is the source of this 1561-nucleotide non-coding RNA. The record is from RefSeq and is a predicted model, not a curated record. NCBI's taxonomy places the organism in Eukaryota, Metazoa, Chordata, Actinopteri, Salmoniformes, Salmonidae.